UUCCGUCGGAGGAGCGGCUGAGGUCGUAUUAGCUGGUUGGCGAGGUAACGGCUCACCAAGGCGAUGAUGCGUAGGGGGUGUGAGAGCAUGGCCCCCACCACUGGCACUGAGACACUGGCCAGACACCUACGGGUGGCUGCAGUCGAGAAUCUUCGGCAAUGGGCGCAAGCCUGACCGAGCGACGCCGCGUGCGGGAUGAAGGUCUUCGGAUUGUAAACCGCUGUCGGAGGGGAUGAAAUGCAUCAGGGUUCUCCCUGGUGUUUGACAGAGCCUCGGAGGAAGCACGGGCUAAGUUCGUGCCAGCAGCCGCGGUAAUACGAACUGUGCGAACGUUAUUCGGAAUCACUGGGCUUAAAGGGUGCGUAGGCGGUGGCACAAGUCAGGUGUGAAAUCCCCCAGCUCAACCGGGGAACAGCGCUUGAAACUAGGUCGCUCGAGUGAGGCAGGGGUGCAUGGAACUUCCGGUGGAGCGGUGAAAUGUGUAGAUAUCGGAAGGAACGCCGGCGGCGAAAGCGGUGCACUGGGCCUUGUCUGACGCUGAGGCACGAAAGCUAGGGGAGUGAACGGGAUUAGAU
This 575-nucleotide ribosomal RNA is filed under the name uncultured bacterium. Its description in RNAcentral is "bacterial SSU rRNA". It matches the Rfam family "Bacterial small subunit ribosomal RNA", at positions 213 to 783 of the family's 1533-position model. The record is from RNAcentral.